Long non-coding RNA from Chinchilla lanigera (long-tailed chinchilla), 936 nucleotides. RefSeq lists it as uncharacterized. Lineage: Eukaryota; Metazoa; Chordata; Mammalia; Rodentia; Chinchillidae. The transcript has 4 exons. The record is from RefSeq and is a predicted model, not a curated record.
CUUGACUGUGUCCAUCCUCCCCCCUCCUCCCUGCAGGCAUCUCUUCCUUCCCGCUUUCCCGGCAGCAAGGACCCCAGCAAGAACACUGCAGAUACAGUGGUCCAGUACCUUGUGAUCAGACCAUGCAGUCAGCAUUAUGCAGCUGUAGAAAACUCCGAUGACACAAGACUUUACGCCAUUCAGGAUGUCCCCAGGUGCAGGUUAUUUUUAGGGAAGAGAGGCUCUGAAGAUGCAACAAAGAUGAGGUGGCCAUUCCUAGAAUGAGGACCUCCUGUGAUAGCAGAAAGAGCUCAGUCCAGGUGCCAGGAUGUUCUGGGGAAACCGGAACGGACCAUAGCACUUGGCUUCCAUCUAGCAGAGCGAGGAACUGUGCCCUGAAACUCAUCACCGGGUUUUGCAUUACUAUUAUUACUCUUCUGGAAUUUCCCUGUUUGGAAGAUUGUUAUAUUCUGUGUUCUAAAAAAAGAAAACACCAACUCUAACAAUUUAACAUGCUUAUACUAAUAAUUAUAAAACAACCAGGAUGAGAUUUAUGUUAUAACUUAAGAAAAGUUAAUGAUGAGUAGAGAGAAUAUAGUUCUAUGCUUUGUUAUUUCUAUUAUAAAAACAAAGAAAAACAAAAUAAAAUAGGAGCCAUACAAUCAACUCACUUUCUUAUAGAAUAAUUUAUUACAUUGUGUUUCUUUGCUUUGAAACAUCAUAAAUGCAUCUACUUUUAAAACUCAGAAGGGCUUAUUACUUCACCCGGCAACAAUCCCAAUUGACAAUAAUAUUGUCAAUUUAAUAAAAUUAGAAUGAUGUGUAUAAUAAAGUGUUUUUCUAUUUCAAGAUAAAAUAUCUUUUUUAUCCAAAAUAUCCCUUAUAGAUAAUGUUUACCUUACAGGUCUUGGGCUCCCUCCUUACCCCGCUGUUAGUAUCUACUUGUGGUUCAUGGAU